This 274-nucleotide ribosomal RNA is filed under the name uncultured bacterium. RNAcentral's name for it is "partial 16S ribosomal RNA". It matches the Rfam family "Bacterial small subunit ribosomal RNA", at positions 523 to 796 of the family's 1533-position model. The record is from RNAcentral.
AUACGAAGGGGGCUAGCGCUGUUCGGAAUCACUGGGCGUAAAGCGCGCGUAGGUGGACUAAUCAGUUGAGGGUGAAAUCCCGGGGCUCAACCUCGGAACUGCCUUCAAUACUGUUAGUCUUGAGACCGAGAGAGGUGAGUGGAAUUCCUAGUGUAGAGGUGAAAUUCGUAGAUAUUAGGAAGAACACCAGUGGCGAAGGCGGCUCACUGGCUCGGUACUGACGCUGAGGUGCGAAAGCGUGGGGAGCAAACAGGAUUAGAUACCCUAGUAGUCC